This 255-nucleotide ribosomal RNA is filed under the name uncultured bacterium. RNAcentral describes it as "partial 16S ribosomal RNA". It matches the Rfam family "Bacterial small subunit ribosomal RNA", at positions 524 to 777 of the family's 1533-position model. The record is from RNAcentral.
UACGGAGGGAGCUAGCGUUAUUCGGAAUUACUGGGCGUAAAGCGCACGUAGGCGGCUUUGUAAGUAAGAGGUGAAAGCCUGGAGCUCAACUCCAGAACUGCCUUUUAGACUGCAUCGCUUGAAUCCAGGAGAGGUGAGUGGAAUUCCGAGUGUAGAGGUGAAAUUCGUAGAUAUUCGGAAGAACACCAGUGGCGAAGGCGGCUCACUGGACUGGUAUUGACGCUGAGGUGCGAAAAGCGUGGGGAGCAAACAGGG